UAAGGAAUAUUGGUCAAUGGACGCAAGUCUGAACCAGCCAUGCCGCGUGAAGGAAGACGGCCCUACGGGUUGUAAACUUCUUUUGUACAGGAAAAAACCACCGGUCGUGAACCGGUGCUGAUGGUACUGUAAGAAUAAGGAUCGGCUAACUCCGUGCCAGCAGCCGCGGUAAUACGGAGGAUCCAAGCGUUAUCCGGAUUCAUUGGGUUUAAAGGGUGCGCAGGCGGAAUGAUAAGUCAGUGGUGAAAUCUCUCGGCUCAACUGAGAAACUGCCAUUGAUACUGUCGUUCUUGAGUACACUUGGAGUGGGCGGAAUGUGUCAUGUAGCGGUGAAAUGCUUAGAUAUGACACAGAACACCGAUCGCGAAGGCAGCUCACUAAGUUGUAACUGACGCUCAGGCACGAAAGCGUGGGGAUCAAACAGG
This 425-nucleotide ribosomal RNA is filed under the name uncultured bacterium. Its description in RNAcentral is "bacterial SSU rRNA". It matches the Rfam family "Bacterial small subunit ribosomal RNA", at positions 355 to 776 of the family's 1533-position model. The record is from RNAcentral.